CUGCCAAAAGCCCCUACCCUGACGGUGUGGGUCGAGGGGAGCCCGGUCACCACCCUGCUGGACACCGGGAGUACCGUGACCCUCGCCCGGCCGACGAUCCUGCCUAAAGAACUCGGCUGGAGCGGGACCAUCACCAUAACUUGCGUCCAUGGGGAUACCAGGGAAGUCCCAGUGGCCGAGGUCCAGGUCCACGGAAAAGCAGGCUCCUGGCCACUCCUAGUCGGUGUUAUCCCCAACCUCCUGGUGCCCCUGCUCCUCAGAAGAGACUGGCCAGGGUUCCCGGCCAGCCCAGUGCCAAAAAAAAGCAGGGCGCUGCGACGCCCGAAGGAGACCCGAGUCCGGCAGGCCUAUUUGGCGAAAGACGAAGGAGACGCCACAGCAGAAGGUAAGCCGCACACACAUACUAACCCGAUGUUGUCUGUGUUUCAACAGGUGAACCGGCAGGGAAAUUUUGGGCGGGAGCAGAAGGAGGAUGACCGCCUGAAACACUGUUGGGCCCAGGUGCGACAGAUAGAAGGGGUCGAUCAGGACCCUGACCAGAGGCUACCCUCCUCCUACUUCCUCGUUCGGGGUGGUCUCCUCUACCAGCGAUCCUGCCACUGAGGGGAGCUUGUGGACCUCCUGGUAGUACCCAAAACCAAAACACAGACUCUAAUUCACCUGGCCCACAUCCAUCUGCUCGGCAGCCACCUGGGAGCACGAAACACCCUGGAAAAGCUAAGGGAUCGCUUUGUCUGGCCAGGGAUGGAUGCAGAAGUCUGGGGCUUCUGCCAACAUUGCCCCCAGUGCCAGCACACCACCCCACGGAGACCCCCGCCGGGAUAUCCAAGGACAUCUUUACCGACCAAGGUACGCCUUUUGUGUCCAAACUAAUGGCUGAUUUGUGUCGGCUCUUGCAGGUUAAGCACCUAAAAGCGUCCGUAUACCACCCCCAGACCGAUGGGCUCGUUGAAAGGUUCAACCAAACCUUAAAGCAGAUGCUACGGAGGGUGGUGAACGAGGAAGGAAGGAACUGUGAUCUCCUCCUACCCUAUGUCCUUUUCGCCGUCCGAGAGUGCCCCAGGCCUCCACGGGCUUUACCCCCUUUGAGCUCCUCUUUGGGCGGCGACCUCGAGGACUGCUGGACGUGGCAUGGGAAGCCUGGGAGGAACAGCCCUCCCCAUUCCGCUUGGUCAUUGAGUACGUGCAGGAAAUGCAGGAGAAGAUUGACCGAGUGGCCCCAAUCGUCCAGGAGCAUAUGAGAGCCGCCCAGGAGGAGUAGAAGCGAGUAUACGACCACCCAGCACAACCCCAAGAGUUCCAACCGGGCUAUCAGGUGCUCCUACUAGUGCCGAACAACUCCUGCUAGUUUCUAGCUCGAUGGCAAGGGCCGUACACAGUCCUCGAGAGGAAGGGGACCGUGAACUAUCAUGUGCAACAGCCCGGUAAGCGAGCCGACACCCGAACACAUCACAUAAACCUGUUAAUUGAACCACUUUUAAAUAUAAUCAAUUCUUCCCUAAGCACUGGCUAUGUACCUAAAUCACUUAAAUUAGCAGUUAUUAAACCCUUGAUUAAAAAACCUGACCUUGACCCAUCUCAAUUGUCCAGCUAUAGACCAAUAUCAAAUCUCCCCUUCAUCUCUAAGAUUUUAGAAAAUGUUGUAGCAAAGCGGUUAUGCUCGUACUUAGAUAGGAAUAACAUUCAUGAAAUGUAUCAGUCAGGAUUUAGACCUUAUCAUAGCACAGAGACAGCGUUAGUUAAAGUAAUAAAUGACCUUCUACUGACCUCUGAUCAGGGUUGUGUCUCGCUGCUUGUGUUACUAGACCUUAGUGCAGCUUUUGAUACUAUAGAUCACACUAUUCUCCUUGAUAGAUUAGAAAAUGUUGUUGGCAUUAAGGGAACAGUCCUCUCCUGGCUCAGGUCUUAUCUGACCGAUCGUUAUCAGUUCGUAGAUGUAAAUGGUGAUUUCUCCAUGCGUACUGAGGUUACUUUUGGAGUUCCACAGGGUUCUGUUUUAGGCCCACUGCUCUUUACUUUAUAUAUGCUACCCCUAGGACAAAUUAUUCGUAAACAUGGAAUUAGCUUCCACUGUUAUGCUGAUGAUACACAGUUGUAUGUUUCAGCGAAGCCAGAGGACGGACAGAAGCUUAGUAAAGUUGAGGACUGUGUAAAGGACAUUAGAUGUUGGAUGUUAACUAACUUCCUUUUACUUAAUUCUGAUAAAACAGAAAUACUUUUAUUAGGCCCACGUGUAGCUAGAAGUAAUCUUUCUGAUCACAUGGUUACUCUGGAUGGUCUUUCUGUUUCAUCAUGUACAGCAGUUAAAGACCUUGGAGUGAUUAUUGACUCCAGCCUAUCAUUUGAUGCCCAUGUAGAUAAUAUUACUAGGAUAGCUUUCUUUCAUCUCAGAAAUAUUUCUAAGAUAAGAAACAUAUUGUCACUACAUGAUGCGGAAAUACUAGUUCAUGCAUUUGUCACCUCUAGAUUAGAUUACUGUAAUGCCUUACUGUCUGGAUGUUCCAGUAGGAAUAUAAAUAAGCUCCAGUUACUCCAGAAUGCAGCUGCUAGAGUCCUAACUAGAACUAGAUGAUACGACCAUAUCACACCAAUAUUAUCAAUACUGCAUUGGCUCCCAGUAAAAUCUCGCAUUAACUAUAAGAUACUUUUAUUAACCUAUAAAGCACUAAACGGUCUCGCGCCACAAUAUCUAAGCGACCUUUUGGUUUUAUAUGAUCCGCCACGCCUACUUAGAUCAAAAGAUGCAGGCUACUUGACGGUACCUCGAAUAGUGAAGGCUACAGCAGGGGGAAGAGCCUUUGCUUAUAGAGCCCCACAGUUAUGGAAUAGUCUUCCUAUUAGUGUUCGGGACUCAGACACAGUCUCAGUAUUUAAGUCUAGGCUUAAAACGUAUUUGUUUACUCAAGCCUACCCUGACUAGAUUCUGUUCUACUACUUCGCAGUCAUAAUAAUCUUUUUUCUCCCUCUCUCCUUUCGCCGAGCCCCACACGACUUUAUGGAGACACUAGAGAUCCAGAUCCUUUCUGCCUCUGGAUGGAGCUCAGAUCUUCUCUAAUUCCAGACUGCUGGGACUACGGCUGCUCCUAAGGCUAUACAGACUUCAUAUAAAUCCAUAAUGAACUUUUUCACACUAUCUGUUGUUACCCAGAUGAGGAUGGGUUCCCUUCUGAGGAUGACACAACUGGUCCACCACGAGAUCAAAACCCAGCCAGGAGUGGUGGUGCAACAGCGGCCCUAUCGAGUCCCGGAGGCCCGCCGCCAGGCUAUUGAGGAGGAGAUUGGCUGAAUGCUGCAAGACAAUAUCAUUGAGGAGUCCAAUAGCCCCUGGCGUGCCAAAACCCGUAGUCGUGCCAAAACACGUAGUGGUAGGGCGGAGCCGCCGACACACCCCCGGCCAGGGAUUGGUGGACCGAUCGGGAAACAUCCACCAUCCAGCAAAUGAGGGGAGAGGACGAGUCAGAUCCAGACGAGGCCUCCGCUCUCUGACUAUACACGCGGCGUUGCUUGACGGCACAGAAGAGCCCUCAUUCAUCCGGGAAGCCCGGCGCGACCCCGGAAGGAUCCUGCAAUUACAGCCCAUACGCAAACACACGCGCACACGCACGCUCACACACACACACUCCCCCUGAACACCAAAGAAAGAAGACAAAAUAAAAGCAAAC
This is a long non-coding RNA of Ictalurus furcatus (blue catfish), 3662 nucleotides long. RefSeq lists it as uncharacterized. The record is from RefSeq and is a predicted model, not a curated record. NCBI's taxonomy places the organism in Eukaryota, Metazoa, Chordata, Actinopteri, Siluriformes, Ictaluridae. The transcript has 3 exons.